Molecule: ribosomal RNA, 460 nt
Filed under: uncultured bacterium
Lineage: Bacteria
Description: partial 16S ribosomal RNA
Rfam family: Bacterial small subunit ribosomal RNA
Source: RNAcentral
CCUACGGGGGACAGCAGUGAGGAAUAUUGGUCAAUGGGCGGAAGCCUGAACCAGCCAAGUCGCGUGAGGGAAGACGGCCCUACGGGUUGUAAACCUCUUUUGUCGGGGAGCAAAGCGAGUCACGUGUGCCCCAUUGAGAGUACCCGAAAAAAAAGCAUCGGCUAACUCCGUGCCAGCAGCCGCGGUAAUACGGAGGAUGCGAGCGUUAUCCGGAUUUAUUGGGUUUAAAGGGUGCGUAGGCGGUCGGAUAAGUUAGAGGUGAAAUCCCGAGGCUCAACCUCGGAAUUGCCUCUGAUACUGUUCGGCUAGAGAGUAGUGGCGGUAGGCGGAAUGUAUGGUGUAGCGGUGAAAUGCUUAGAGAUCAUACAGAACACCGAUUGCGAAGGCAGCUUACCAAGCUACUUCUGACGUUGAGGCACGAAAGCGUGGGGAGCAAACAGGAUUAGAUACCCCAGUAGUC